Long non-coding RNA from Nicotiana tabacum (common tobacco), 1036 nucleotides. RefSeq lists it as uncharacterized. The record is from RefSeq and is a predicted model, not a curated record. Lineage: Eukaryota; Viridiplantae; Streptophyta; Magnoliopsida; Solanales; Solanaceae.
UCCAAGGAUCAAACUUUAUUUAGACUAAACCAUGAUUAAACUACAUUCUCUUGUUGGGUUAGUGUCAAAAUUAGAAAGAGAAAUGAACUAUCCAAAAAAUCUUGAUGGGUUUCAUUUUGAUUGGAAAAAUAUUUUCGGAUCAAUGGAAACGAUUCUUUGGCACAAGAAUGAAGAAAAAUAAAAGAUUAAACCAUUUACAAACUACUGCAACAACAACACCACCACCAAAUUGCAAGGAGAAAAAUAAAAUCAGUUGUUGAGCAAAAUAUUAUUGUGGGCAAAGAGUGACGGCAACAAAACGGCUGAAAUGCCAAAACUGUGACGAGCUGUCAAAAAGACAGUGUGUCUAUAUGAAUGACAGUGAGUACAACGGGCGUGACACAGUCAACCAUGUCAUAAACUGCAAAGGGUGCAAGAAAUAUAAGACUGUGACGUUGAUUCCCGGAUAAUAUGGGAGGCCGUUCACAGCAGAGGAUUCAACGAGCGGAGCUUAUGCUCCAGUGAUGCUCUUCGAAUGCGAUGAGAUGACUCCUGAAGGAUACGAGUUCAACGGCGGCCGGAAGCUUACUACUGUAAGAUCCUCCUCCAAUUUCAUAACUUCCUAUUCCACUAACUAAUGUCCUUUUUUUUUAGCAGUCAAUGAUAUUUUCAAGUAGGACUUGGGUGAGGUUAUCGACAAAGUGAACUUGGGGAACGACAAAGUUUAAGGGCAAGCUUGAUAUGUAUGGCAAUAAGCUUAAGGUGGAUAACACAAAGGGAAAGUUUAUGAUUCACCAAGCAAGAACAUGUUUUAAUCCCCUGUGUCUAGGAAAAUUAACUUGCAUUGUACAAAGAUGUUGAAUGGUUUGUUUAAUUUGCUCGUUUAAUGCAGUGUUGUAGGUUUAUUAGUUGCAACUGUUUUGUGGUUUGAAAAAGUUGACCACCUACAUCAAUUGUGACUGAGUAAGUAGAUUUAGGAUUUAAGUUUUAUGGGUUUAACCUUUAAGGUUUUUAGUAUUGAACCAAUUGUCUUUUUAAAGUUAUGGGUUCAUAUAUA